GUGCGUGCGGGGCGUGAGCGGCUGACGGGAGGGGUUAGGGGACCGUGACCGGGGAGAGGAAGUGUUUGGAGCAAGACGGAGAAAACAAACAAACAAGCAAGCGGAAAUACGUUAACGAGAGGAAGCGGCAAGAAGUGGGAGGCUGUGGUGUGCUCGGCCGAGACCUACACGCUGCCAGGUGGACGGAAUGGUUAGCAGAAUCUGCUUUUCCACAACUUCUUCAAGAGUUAAAGUUUGCGGACGGCUGCGGAAUUUUCUCAUUCUAUUCAAGAUGCGAUUUAAUAUUACGAGCCAAAGAAGGGAAAGUGUGGAGAACGAGACGCGGUAGGUAGGCGAUGACAAGCUACAUACGAAAGAUGGAAUAUAAAGGAGAAGAAGAAGGAUGGUGUAGGAAGAUGAGGUGGCUAAACGAAGAUGAACAAAAGAAAGUGAAGAAGAAAGAUCAGGCGAGGAUAAGCUAGAGAUGAAAGAGGGAAAGAAAAGGAAAAGAAGAGGAAUGGAGUAGGAAGAUGAGGUGGCUAAACGAAGAUGAACAAAAGGAACUGAAGAAGAAGAAAGAAAAGUGCUUAGGUAGGCGAGGAUAAGCUAUAGAGAUGAAAGAGGAAAAGAAAAGGAAAAGAAGAGGAAUGGAGUAGGAAGAUGAGGUGGCUAAACGAAGAUGAACAAAAGGAACUGAAGAAGAAUGAGAGAGGCGGAGAAUGCAGGCGAGGAGAAACUAUGAACGAAAGAGGGAGAGGAAAAACACGAGAAGAAGGGUGGAGAAAGAUCAAAACGAAGAUGUAGAAAAAGAAAGAGGAAGAGAAGAAGCAGG
Molecule: long non-coding RNA, 811 nt
Organism: Eriocheir sinensis (Chinese mitten crab)
Lineage: Eukaryota; Metazoa; Arthropoda; Malacostraca; Decapoda; Varunidae
Exons: 3
Source: RefSeq, a predicted model, not a curated record